AAGUCGUAACAAGGUUUUCGUAGGUGAACCUGCGGAAGGAUCAUUUUCACUUAAAAUUUAUAAACAAUCGCGAACUGUUAUUCCUUCUUGGAAGAGUGGUGGGGCUUCAUCUGGGUAUUGCGUAGUUACUACUUAACUCUUUGAGUUAGUGUGUGCUGCGAGAUGACCUCAUUGCCUGGUUACUUAGAGCUGUUUAUCAGUUCUUCUUAACUGGACCUCUUCCCUGAAGCGUUAUCUUCAUUACCCAUUUCACCUCUAACAAACCCUUGUAUUAAUUUGAACUGAUCUAAUCUCAAUUAGCUUGGUAGCACCUUCGGGCGCUCCGCGUUGAGAUUUUAUUAUUUAACUAAAGAACAACUCUUAACAACGGAUAUCUUGGUUCCCG
Molecule: unclassified non-coding RNA, 385 nt
Filed under: fungal sp.
Lineage: Eukaryota; Fungi
Description: partial internal transcribed spacer region
Rfam family: Eukaryotic small subunit ribosomal RNA (bases 1-46)
Source: RNAcentral